UUGUUGCUUCACUGUGAUGUGUGGCUGGCGGCGGGAUAGCUGUGUUGUUUGUUAUUAGUGAGUUUUAAGAAGACAGGGCUCCAGGUAAACCCGCACACACUCAGAAUCCAGAGUGAGUCCAGCAGCCCCAGUGGAGAUCUGCUGGAUUUCAGGACCAGAGAGGAAUGGAGGAGGACAACCAGAACCUGGAGCAGCGGAGCAACCAGGUCCCCAGAAGACAAGCAGGAGACUGGGACUCUGAUAGCAGCCAUGUUCAGCGGUCUCCCCGGAAGUCGUGUUUGUUGUUGUUUGCCCGUGCUGAGCAGCGGGAGCAGUGAGGAGAGAAGCCGUUAGCUGAAUCCAGAUCAGGGAAUCCCAAACAGCGUUUCUUAGUCUGUUCAUCAGAGAUGGAGCGGCACCGGGAACACACGGAGGAGACCAAGCUGCGGGGAGAAGCUUUACCUCCAGUCGUUCUGGAAGUGAUUGUUAUUAAAGAGGAGCAGCAGGAGUGUAGCUCCAGUGUGGACCAGCAGGGGCCAGACCCCCCCCCACACAUUAAAGAGG
This is a long non-coding RNA of Perca flavescens (yellow perch), 543 nucleotides long. RefSeq lists it as uncharacterized. Lineage: Eukaryota; Metazoa; Chordata; Actinopteri; Perciformes; Percidae. The record is from RefSeq and is a predicted model, not a curated record. The transcript has 4 exons.